RNAcentral lists this ribosomal RNA (275 nucleotides) under uncultured bacterium. RNAcentral's name for it is "partial 16S ribosomal RNA". It matches the Rfam family "Archaeal small subunit ribosomal RNA", at positions 473 to 747 of the family's 1478-position model. The record is from RNAcentral.
ACACCAGCGCCACAAGUGGGGGUCGGUUUUAUUGGGCCUAAAGCGUCCGUAGCAGGUUUAAUCAGUCCUCUGUGAAAUUGACCAACUCAAUUGGUCAGCGUGCAAGGGAUACUGUUAGACUAGGGACCGGGAGGAGUAUGCGGUAUUGUCGGGGGAGCGGUAAAAUGUUAUAAUCCCGAUAGGACCACCGAUGGCGAAGGCAGCAUACUAGAACGGAUCCGACUGUGAGGGACGAAAGCCAGGGGAGCGAACCGGAUUAGAUACCCUAGUAGUCC